UAAAUUAUCACUUCAUAAUAAUGCUCUUAUUAUGAUCAACAAUCAAAUGUUUUAGGAUACGAUUCCCCUGCAGUUCUCAUGUGGUAUGCUCCGUGUUGACGCGGGAGUCAUCAUAAAGUUGCAGUGUUUACCUCAGAAGAACAUUAAAAGAGUCAGUCUGUAAGGAAAGAGGAGGAGCACAAAAACACUCUUGCAAAGCUGAUCGCAAAAGUCAGAGAGCCGGAAAGAAAAACCUCAGACAACAGACAGAAAUGAAUGGGAUCGCAGCUGGUUGCAGCAAACCCGUUAAUUUAAGAAAACCAUUAGUAAUAAUCUAUUUUAUAAAUUUUGGGUUUUUCUUAGAAAUAGUUCACCCAAAAAUAAUAAGUUGCUUAAAAUGUACUCACCUUCAGGCCAUCAAAGAUGUAGAUGAGUUUGUUUCUGGAAGCAGAUUUGAGGAAAUAUAUCACUUGCUCACCAAUGGAUCCAUUGCAGUGAAUUGGUGCUGUCAGAAGCAACAGCUGAUAAAACAUCACAGUAAUCCACAUGACUGCCUUUCCUUAAUUGUGAAGCAGAAAGCUGUGUUUGUAAUAAACAAAUCAGUCAUUAAGACCUCUGUUAGUUCUCUGUCCUCAUAUUGCUUUCUCCAGUGAAAAAGUUCUCUGCUGAAUUGGGAGAGAAAAGCAUAUGGAGGUUUUCACAGGAGGAAGUGUUAUUGAUUAUGGAGUUCUUGGCCAAAAGCAUUGGUUUGAAGUUAAAAUGCCUUAAUGAUGGAUUUGUUUUUUUACAAACAUGUAGUCAGGGUUUGUUGCAAACAAGACAUGGCCUUAAAGCCCCACUAUGUAAUUUUGUCUUCUAAAUUUGCUAAAUAUAGUGAGCGAGUACAUCAUAAAUUUAUACACCAAACUGACGUUUUGUCUUUUCCCAGAUCACUAUUGUACAUUUAUAAUAAGUGAUUAUUUUUGGACUAUUGUAGCCUGUUCGGGUCGUCACCGCUGCGGAGUAACACAUACCUGCGUGAAUCGCCAUAGACAUAAACCUAGAGAAGUAGUUCCGGUCACUUCAUGUUCUUCCGCGUGAUGCGUGUAGUUCUGUUUAAUAACCGCUAGAGCGCCACACUUUACUUAGUAUUGCUUCAAAGCUUAAAAAGUUCAUAUUAAGAUGCUGUAAAUCAGUUACUACUUGGUUUUAUUUUGUAUUAGCAGUGAUUGCAAAGAUUUUUCGUUCAUACGGUUUGGGAUUUGUUUAAAUCCUGAACCCUUUAUACUACAAUUCUUCAAAACCAUGUUUAGGAGAAAGGUAAGUGAUCAGCAUCAUGACAUGUAUGUAUUAUAAAGUGCCAUUAAAUUUACUUAAGAAAAUGUGGUAAAGUGCUGAGAUUCUCUCAUAUCACCUAGAAUAAUUUAAACUCCAUGCAGUUCAAGGUUAUCUGAACCAGCGAAGACUGUGAUGAUAAUUCUUAUACUCAACACUAGAGAGCAGCAUGUUUCCAUUUUAACAAUGACAUUUCUUUUCAACAUCUGAGAUUUUGUGCACUAGUCUUAAAACUUUUCUUAUUUAGACUUGCCAUUUAUAGUUAUAGUUUCUCCUUGUUUCUCUGAAAUGUUCAUGACAAGCAUGAAUCCAACUCUUUGAGGGCCCUCCUUAGCACAAAUAUUUACACAGUCGCAUUAAAUGAUUUAGAAUAGAAUUGUUGGUUGGUGACUGAUGGCACUCUGUGAGUUAUUUUAAACUGGCAGCCUGUGGGGAAGAUCAAUAUGACGGUUAAUGAAGGUUUUGUUUGUGUUUGAACAUCCAAAGCUGAGUCAGAGUGAAAAUCUUUACAAUGAGAAUAGUUGAGAAGUGUUAUAUAAAGCAUAUCAAGAAGUAAAAGCAGUUUCGUGCUCCAGUCUUCACAACAAAAAAUAUUUUUCCUGAAGAAAAGAAAAUCCCAUAAACCAUCAGUCUCAUGACAGGUAAUAUAAAAAUGCAGAUAAGUUCAAGAUUAUUUAACAAGACUAUUUAUGAUCUUGUCUAAUCUCUGUGUUGUAUUGCAGGAGGAUGAUGCACUGCUCAUGAGAGUUACAGAGCUCAAUAUCGUGGAUGGUGUUGAAUUCAAAGAUUUCUCUGCAUUUGUGUCCAGGUAGAGUUAUGAUUGGUAGCUGGUUAAUAUCAAUGGUGUGUUUGUAUUUCAAUUCAGGUCAUCCAAGACGAAUGGGUGCCGUCAGAAAGAGAGUCCAAACAGCUGACAAAAACAUCACAAUAAUGCACAAGUAAUACACAAUACUCCAGUCCACCAAUUAACGUCCACUACCAUAAUAUUUUCUCCAGUAAUAAAAUGGUCUUGUCUGAAUCCGGAGAGAAAUAUGCACAGAUCUAGCACAGUUUACAGGUGAAAACAUUUCUAAACAAAUAUGUUGGUGGACUUUGAUGUGAGAGGAAAAUGGGAUGAUCUUUUUCACUGGAGGAAGCCGUAUUAUGGAUCAUAUUUUGGUCAGAAGCAACAGUUUUAGGUUAAAAUUGCAUAAUGAUGGUUUCUUACUAACACACAUCAGUGUUUGCCACAGACUUACACUCCAUGUGAUGGCAUUUUCCCAGAGGGAAAUAUAUAUGUAUUAAUAAAACAGCAGACGGGCUUAUUGAGAACAGAAAUUCAUUCUCUGCCAGCAGGUGGCGCUUUUGGGGUGGCAGAAAUACAGCGUUUUCCCUUGUAACUGUUGUACACAGAGCAGCACAGCGAAAUCUACUUUAUCAAGCAUAAUAGGAGAAAUGAAAUGAAAAUUAAUCAACUUUUCCUGAAGAGAGUUGGUUCCCUUCAAAGAUACAUUCAUAUAAAAACACCCAUGUAAUAUUUUUAACUUUGAAAUGUGAUGAGCUCUUGUUAACAUGUUUAUUUGUGGCAGUCAGUGUUGAAAUUGUGGUGGGUCACCACAAAUAAAUCAAUGUAUGGGAAACACUGAUGCCUUUUUCUGCUUCACAAGACGUUAACUAAUUACCUGGUGUACUGUUAAUUAAUUGUGGAUUAUUAUGUUUUGAUCAACUGUUUGGACUCUCAUUCUGACAGCACCCAUUCACUACAGAGGAUCCAUUGGUAAAACUUUAAAUCUUGCAUGACCUGAGGGUGAGUACAUUUUAAUAUUUGGACAAAAUGUUCCUUUAAUGCAAUUAUUUUUCACAUUUAAAAAUAAGCAGAUUCCAUGUAUAAUUUGUACUCUUCACAAAAUGAGGUAUCUUGUUUGUUUGCAGAAAUAAAAAAAACAACAGAAAUCCCAUUAGGAGAACAUCCAGGUUGCGCAAUAGGUUACACAUCAUAAAACCUACAGUCAAGAUGCUGAGUGAACACGGACCAGCUGUUGUCAGCGCGAUGUGGGAGAGUUCCCGCAGAGGUCUGAUUUUCUCAUUGAGGACUGAUUAACAAGUGUUGCAGCGAGAUCAGGUUAGAUCCCACUGCUGGCUGAUUGACUGACGGCAGUAUACGCUUGAGAAUUAUUCAUAUGAGUCAGUGUACUAGCAAAAUUCAAUAUAACCUCAAAAAUAUUCCAUCGUUAGAUGAAUAAGGGCUUUGUUUAUGUGUUUGAGGGGUUUCUGUUAUACUUGUAGCUGAAAGAUUUGUUUAUUCGUGGUCCAGGCCAAAUGAACAAAUAAAUGUCUCUGAUCAUUAGGCAUGUGGUCCAUAUCUGUGGUAACUUCAUCUCUGAAGAAAGAUCAUUUGUGAAAGAUGAAAUUCUAUCAUGUUCUGUUUUAUUGUUCUGUUAUGUUGUGCUCUAUUCUGUUGUUCUCUCUUCUGUUCUGUUGUAUUCUGUUUGUUCUUUUUUCUCUGUUGUGUUCUAUUUUCUGCUAUAUUCUGUUGUAUUCUAUAAAAAAUGUUGUAUGUCCGGUUUUAUUUUGUAUUCUUUAUAGUACUCUGUUUUGUUGAGUUUUUUGUUGUUGUUCCAUUGCAUUAUGGGGCCCGUUUCAAUAAGAAGGUCCAACUAACUCUUAGUUGAAACUUGAACUCUGAGUUGAUUUAAUCUGAGAUGGGAAACUGAGUUUUUGAGUUCAGAAUAGCUGAAUUAUAUAAGUUCAGUCAACUCUGAGUAGGUUAACUCUGAGUUUAUCACGUGCACCACGACUAAGAAAAGCCAUGAUCAUGGAGCUCUGAUAUUCAAGAUUCAAGUAGCUUUAUUGGCAUGGUAAAAAAGUAUCUUAACAUUACCAAAGCAUAGACACUUUUAAAUAAACAUAGUAGAAUUAUAUAUCGUAUAGAGUCUAUAUAUCUGUAUACAGUAAAACUAAAGUACUAAUAAAAUUUUUAAUAAAGAGACAGGAGAAGGACUAAAUCCUGUCAUGUCAGUUUGUGUGUUGUACAGUGUUUUCUUCCGGCUGUGACUUGUGGUUCUGUUCUACUGCUUCUCCUUUUAUCAUGGCAGGACUUGACGUACCUUGCAGCCAGGUUAGAGCUUGUUGAGGCUUCUCCCAGAAUGUAUGACAGUUUGUCCUUUUUGCUGUACCUGAAGUCUUUGUGCUGGUUUGUGAAUUGGGGAAGAAUGUUUCCCUAAUUUGUGUAUAAUUAGGGCAUGUUGUUAAAUGUUGUGCAGUUCUGUUUCCACUUCAUAUCAUGUGCAGUGUGGACACAAUCUGUCUUCUUCUGAUGAGUCUGUACAUGGUCAGGACUUUUCUUAGUUUAGGGUCUGCCACUGUGUUUAUGCCAAUUUAUAUUCUCUGUUUGGAGACAGAUAGCAUUUUAAUUUACUUUGCUGAGCUGUUGCUUCUGUCCAAUGUUGUAGAUAUUCAUCAGAUGUUUUAAUGAUUUGAUUUAGGGUUUUUGGAUUGUAAAGUCAGUUCUGAGACCAGCUGGCUGAGGGUUUUUUUCUCUGGGUUCAGUUUCUGGUAGUUUAAGGCUUUAUGGUGGAGGGUCUCAUUAUGACUGCUUUUUAGGUGCACAUGGAAUUUAAUGGCUUUUUUGGGGGGUUUUAAUUAUUAAUUACCCAUUAGCACUUAAGCCCUAAUUCUGAUAUAACGAUUCACCGUGGCAACAGCUCCCGCCAAAAAGCCGUCUGCAUACUUAAGACUCAAUACAAGUUUAAUUCUUAUAUCACUGUUAUAAUAUCACAGGUGAAAACUGGCAGAACAGUAGGUUAUUGGACUAAUAGGCUAUUAAUUUUCAUGGUAUCUCAUGGGCAAAAAAAAAAAUAAUAAUUUACAAUUUGACAUUUACAAAUGAUCUGCCAAUUGAGUAAGAAGAAUACGUCAGUGGCUAUUUAUUUUCAGUGGAAUUAAAAUACUUUCUUAGCCAGGCUGUUUUUGAAAAUAAGAACUUGUUAUUAAUUACUCUGACUGGUUAAAUAAAGGUUAAAAAAUAGAUCCUAUUUACAGUGGGCUAAGUGCAAAUAGCUGUAGAUGCUGUUUACACUUAGUAAAAAUUGUGAUAUAUUGUAUUUACCAUGUAAAAGUAGCAGUUCUUGGCAAUAUGCUAAGUGUAAAUAAUAAUUAGAUGCUAUUUAUGCUUUAUACUUGCAGAUACAUACUAGACCUAUUUGCACCUCAGUAUUGUUAUACAUUAAAAGGAUGCAAUAAUAACAUAUUGUAAAUUAUUAUAUUUAUUAAAAUUACAAAUACUUGUAUUAUUAUUAAACACUCGUUAGGCACUUUACUUCCACUUUUAGAACAUUUUCUUCAUUUUUAUUGAAAAUAAAUUCCAAUGUGAUAUGUGAUGGGAAAAGUGAGAAGAACGAGCUCGGCAAAAGCUGGACUCAAACCCGAUCAAUCGCGUUGCAAGCUAGUUCUCCUUGCACAACACGUUACUGCCUACACCACUGAAGAUGUUAUUCACAUGCAUUGUAUUUAACCUUGUGUGACAUUGUAGGGCGGAGCCAUGGUAGAUUUUAAUCUUGCUUACCAUUUGCAUUAAGAUUAUUUUUAUUACCACACUGGCAUAUACAAACCUGAUUACAAAAACUUUGGGACACUGUACAAAUUGAGAAUAAAAACAGAAUGCAAUGAUGUUGAAGUUUCAAAUUUCAAUAUUUUAUCCAGAAUACAACAUAGAUGACAUAUCAAAUGUUUAAAAAGAGAAAAUGCAUAAUUGAAAGGAAAAAAUAAGUUGAUUUCAUAAAAAUAAAUUUCAUGGCAUCAACACAUCUCAAAAAAGUUAGGACAAGGCCAUGUUUACCACUGUGUGGCAUCCCUUCUUCUUUUUAUAAAAGUCUGCAAAUGUCUGGGUACUGAGGAGACAAGUUGCUCAAGUUUAGGAAUAGGAAUGUUGUCCCAUUCUUGUCUAACACAGGUUUCUAGUUGCUCAACUGUCUUAGGUCUUCUUUAUGAUUUGCCAAAUGUUUUCUAUGGGUGAAAGAUCUGGACUGCAGGCUGGCCAUUUCAGUACCCGGAUCCUUCUUCUACACAGCCAAGAUGUUGUAAUUGAUGCAGUAUGUGGUCUGGCAUUGUCAUGUUGGAAAAUGCAAGGUCUUCCCUGAAAGAGACAACAUCUGGAUGGGAGCAUAUGUUGUUCUAAAACUUGGAUAUACCUUUCAUCAUUGAUGGUGCCUUUCCAGAUGUGUAAGCUGCCCAUGCCACAUGCACUCAUGCAACCCCAUACCAUCAGAGGUGCAGGCUUCUGAACGGAGCGCUGAUAACAACUUGGGUUGUCCUUGUCUUUUUUAGUCCGGAUGACAUGGCAUCCCAGUUUUCCAAAAAGAACUUCAAAUUUUGAUUCGUCUGACCACAGAACAGUUUUCCACUUUGCCACAGUCCAUUUUAAAUGAGCCUUGGCCCAGAGAAAACACCAGCGCUUCUUGAUCAUGUUUAGAUAUGGCUUCUUUUUUGACCUGUAGAGUUUUAGCCGGCAACGGUGAAUGGCACUGUGGAUUGUAUUCACCGACAAUGUUUUCUGGAAGUAUUCCUGAGCCCAUGUUGUGAUUUCCAUUACAGUAUCAUUCCUGUAUGUGAUGUAGUGCCGUCUAAGGGCCCAAAGAUCAAGGGCAUCCAGUAUGGUUUUCGACCUUGACCCUUACACACAGAGAUUGUUCCAGAUUCUCUGAAUCUUUUAAUGAUAUUAUGCAAUGUAGAUGAUGAUAACUUCAAACUCUUUGCAAUUUUUCCCUGAGAAACUUCUUGCUGAUAUUGCUCUAGUAUUUUUUCGCCGCAGCAUUGGGAGAAUUGGUGAUCCUCUGCCCAUCUUGACUUCUGAGAAACACUGACACUCUGAGAGUCUCUUUUUACACCCAAUCAUGUUGCCAAUUGACCUAAUAAGUUGCAAAUUGGUCCUCCAGCUGUUCCUUAUAUGUACAUUUAACUUUUAUGUCCUCUUAUUGCUACCUGUCCCAACUUUUUUGGAAUGUGUAGCUCUCAUGAAAUCCGAAAUGAGCCAAUAUUUGGCGUGACAUUUCAAAAUGUCACAAUGUCAACAUUUUAUGUUUUCUAUACUCUGUUGUGAAUAAAAUAUAAGUUUAUGAGAUUUGUAAAUUAUUCCUUUCCUUUUUUACUCACAAUUUGUUCAGUGUACCAACUUUUUUGGAAUCGGGUUUGUAAUUUUACUUAAGUAAAAUGCACUUAAUUUAGA
Molecule: long non-coding RNA, 7495 nt
Organism: Carassius gibelio (silver crucian carp)
Lineage: Eukaryota; Metazoa; Chordata; Actinopteri; Cypriniformes; Cyprinidae
Exons: 3
Source: RefSeq, a predicted model, not a curated record